RNAcentral lists this long non-coding RNA (1296 nucleotides) under Homo sapiens (human). RNAcentral describes it as "PREDICTED lncRNA (TCONS_00100433)". Lineage: Eukaryota; Metazoa; Chordata; Mammalia; Primates; Hominidae. The record is from RNAcentral.
UUCGGCCUCCCAAAGUACUGGGAUUACAGGCGUGAGCACCUGUGCCCGGCCACACCAUUAUUUUGAAGAGAAAAUUUGAUAAAAAUAAUUGGUCAGUUGUAAAGAUGGUUAACUACCCAACUGGUAAGAGAGAUUUCUAAGAGUUACAGAAUAGCAACUGCAGGAAGGAACUUGUGCCCUUAGGACUGAGGAAGUAAAAAGGAGGGAAACUUGGAAACACGAAAGAGCCCUUCCCCUUUCAAUUCAAGGUGGAGACUGGACCUCAGAAGAGGGAGUGGGUGCCCCGAGAACUCACAGCUAGCGGACAGUGGAAAGGGCAGGAGCCGGACCAAGUGUUCAUCCAUCGCCCUGUAUUAGCGAAGAACAACAUCAAGCUGGCUAGCAAGGAACUGUAUACAGGGUCCAGCUGGGUAUCACACUGGAUCUCACCCAAAGCUUAGAUGUGAUCCAGCUCAGUAUCACAAAGCAGAACGAAAAGGAUGUGUUUGGGCUGAGAGGCCAUACAUUGGCUCCGGCAUGACGGGUGACUUCUUCCGAGUCUGGCUUCUGCAGCACACAGGGCUUCGCCAGCACCCAGCUCCUGCAGCAUGGGCAGCUCCUGUGACAGCAGGCGCCCGCAGCCUGCAAAGCGUCUCCAGUGCCGCCGCCUCAGUGAACCUCAACCAGCGGCACCUAGCAGCUUUCUCUGCCACCCUCUUCAGGUCUGGAUCUAAGCCCAGGGACCAGGAAACCUCUUGCUUGAGUGCUGGAACUCAGGCCAGAAGGCAGGAAGCCCGCCUGACCCCAUGUCUCAGGCUGCCAGAGGAGCGUGCGAUGAGGAAGGCUGGACUGUCUUCACAGGACACCAGGGAGAAGCCUCAAGCCACUGCCCCCUGACAAGUCGCAGCUCUCCAGCCUGUCUCCUCACUCCCCUCCCCUCCACAUGGGGGGGUUGGGGUGGGGGCGGGGAAGGUUCGGGGCAGGGGUCAUUUCAGCUACUGGGCACCAGUCUCCUCCUCAUGUUUAUCCUGUUCCCUUUGCUUGAAAGGUUCGUACUCCAGAUCCUUGUAAAACCGCUUCUCACCCUUUGAGUCUCAGCUUAAAUGUCCCCUCCUUGGAGGGGUCUUCCCUGACAAUGAAGCUCCGACCGUCCUCUCCUGUUUUACCCAGUUCAUUUCUUUCUGGCAUUUGUAACUACUUGAAGUUAAAGUGUGUGCCAUGUAUGUGUCUGUCAGUUUCCCCCACCACACUGGAACCCCAUGAGGGCAAGGGUCUUGUCUGGAAUCUUCCUCACUUACAACUCAACAUUUAGCAAAG